This 542-nucleotide unclassified non-coding RNA is filed under the name Hevea brasiliensis (rubber tree). Lineage: Eukaryota; Viridiplantae; Streptophyta; Magnoliopsida; Malpighiales; Euphorbiaceae. The record is from RNAcentral.
UAACCUAAAAAAAGAGAGAAUGGGCCUGCUUCCGUCACAAAUCUUGCUGUUACAACAGUAACACUCCAACUGCUAUACUAUCGUGUAAGAAGGCCAUAAGACGGCAAGUCUUCUAGCCGCAAUAUAUCAUCAAGCAGCAGCUCUCUUUCAAGCUGACGACGUGUGGAUUUCAUAACCAUAUUGAAGUCCAUAUAUGAUGCGUGCAUGGUAAGCCACUGAUGGUCCAUUAGCUUGAAUGUGAUGCAGUAUAGAAGAUCAAAUGCUAAUUCAUUCUCUGCUAGGAAUUUCAAGAAAGUUGCUCCAACUAUCGAUCGUGGCUUGACUGCUUCAAGAUCAAGCAUCUGAAUGAGCAUGAAUGUGAUGUUGACACCAGCUACAGCAAAUGGGUAUUCCCAUACUGACCGAUCACCUUCUCGCUUUUGAAGAAGAUCCUGGAAGGACUUCGGAAAAUUUCUAGCAAAGAACAACAAGUUCUCUAAUGAUAUAAAACCACCACCCCUAAAAUCUGUUGAUGGAUCCUUCCCUUGCCAGCCCAUUUCCUU